AAAAACAAGGAAAUUUCAGAGUUUCGAAAGUUGGAAAAUUGGAGAAAUCUCCAAGUGUUCUAGAAAAUUUUGGGGAUUAAUCUGAAAAUUUCAGAGUUUUUUGGCAGAAAUUUAUUCCUUUUUUUGUCUCUUGUACGCUGUCGUAGCUUUCUCACAAACUCCUCACAUAGAAAGUCUUGGUUGUACAACUUGCUGAAAAAGACGCUUCUUUGAUCAGAUAAAAAAAAAAAAAAGUCUGCGGGAAAUGUUUUUUAAUCCGAUCUGUCUGACUUUUUCGCUCUCUCCAGCCUUAAAGUCUCCUCUUUGAUGCAUUCUGCUUGAUCCACCUUUCUUCUCACACACCUGUUUGACUUGUUCUUUUGAUCCUGUGCCUUUGUCAGCAUAUCUAAAGAUAGCGUUGAGAGCAGGAGGCUGUGGUUGUGUCUCCGAAGAGAGAAGAAUCAGACGGCCUGUUCGGCCUCACGUAAACAGUGCAAGUCUAAUUUUUAGAUAACAGGUCGAUCAGGUUAUUUAAGGACAGAAAGGAGAGAGAAAAUGCAAAACAAACCCAGCAUAUGUGACAAAGAGUGAGUUUCUGGAAUAAAGUGGGAGCUAACUCUGUCAAAUGCACCUAGAACAUCACUGCUAAUGGAUCCCUACAGCCAAAUGGCCUCAGGCCAAAGAUACACUUGAUGCACUGAAAGGAAACUAAAAAGAAAAAUCCUCAGGAAAUGUUGGCGAUGGCUGCCACUUAUCCUGUAGCUCUGUGUGCCACCAAAAUGCCUUUCCAAUCUGAUUUAGACCCAACGAUAGACGCUUUCGUCUUUAUAGCCUAAAAGGAAUCUGGAACCUACAAUUAUGAGAUUUGAGCUACAGAAAUUUUACUUUUGGACAGUUGCUAUGAUACGUAGCUCUGAUUAGUAUCUCAAAAGUUCAAGUGAUACCUAAACUAGAAGCGAAUGUUGUCAUUCUCAUCACUUUCUUUUUGUUGUUUUGUUUUCCAUUACUAAUUUUAAGGCAUUUAUUACUGCAGUAUUUCUAUGUUUUUAUUCUGAAAAUCCCAAUUUGUAACCCAGUUGGUUUUGGGCCGAUUAGGAAUUUGAAACCCACUCUUGCAAAAAA
Molecule: long non-coding RNA, 1101 nt
Organism: Poecilia latipinna (sailfin molly)
Lineage: Eukaryota; Metazoa; Chordata; Actinopteri; Cyprinodontiformes; Poeciliidae
Exons: 2
Source: RefSeq, a predicted model, not a curated record